Molecule: RNA transcript, 1089 nt
Organism: Capra hircus (goat)
Lineage: Eukaryota; Metazoa; Chordata; Mammalia; Artiodactyla; Bovidae
Gene name: carbonic anhydrase 1-like
Exons: 7
Source: RefSeq, a predicted model, not a curated record
AACUGUGGAUUCAGUCGUCUAUUGCACGCUCAGUGACAGUCAGUUAUUCCAGGUCUUCCCUUUGUGAUCAGAAGAAGAAAACUAAGUAGAAGACCAUGGCAAGUCCUGACUGGGGAUAUGAUGGUGAAAACGGUCCUGAACACUGGUGCAAGCUGCAUCCCAUUGCAAAUGGAAAUAACCAGUCUCCUAUCGACAUUAAAACCAGUGAAACCAAGCGUGAUCCCUCUCUGAAACCUCUCAGUAUCUCCUACAAUCCAGCCACAGCCAAAGAAAUCGUCAACGUGGGACAUUCCUUCCAUGUAAACUUUGAGGACAGUGAUAAUAGAUCAGUGCUGAAAGGCGGCCCUCUACCUGAGAGCUACAGGCUGCGUCAGUUCCAUUUUCACUGGGGCAGCACCGAUGACUGUGGCUCUGAGCACUUAGUGGAUGGAGCCCCAUUUUCUGCAGAGCUUCAUUUAGUUCACUGGAAUUCUGCCAAGUACCCCAGCUUUGCUGAUGCCGCCUCACAGGCUGAUGGUUUGGUGAUUGUCGGCGUUUUGAUGAAGGUGGGUCACGCCAACCCAAACCUUCAGAAAGUACUUGAUGCCCUAAAAGCAGUUAAAACUAAGAACAAGAAAGCUCCAUUCACAAAUUUCGAACCCCUCUGUCCUCCUGCCUUCAUGCACGGAUUACUGGGCCUACUUUGGUUCACUGACUCACCCUCCUCUUCAUGAGAGUGUCACCUGGAUCAUCUUUAAAGAGACCAUCAGUGUGAGCGCGGAACAGCUGGCGCAGUUCCGCAGUCUGCUAGCAAAUGCUGAAGGCGAUCAAGAAGUCUGCAUCAAGCAGAACUACCGACCACCCAGCCUCUGAAGGGCAGGACAGUGAAAGCUUCAUUCUGACGGCCCUAGAGGAAGCUCACCUUCCCUCAAGAAGCACAGCUCUGCUUCUGACAUAAUCCAACAAAACAGCUUUAAGAAAUAUGUUUAUUUCAAUACUAGCAAGACAGCCUGCUUGCGAAUUUACUCUGCAGAACGCAAAAUCUUUUUCUUCUUUAUGUUGAACUCAAACAGUAAUCUGUAAGUUCACUAAACUUGUGCUUAAAUUCAA